CCUACGGGUGGCAGCAGUGGGGAAUAUUGGACAAUGGGGGCAACCCUGAUCCAGCCAUGCCGCGUGUGUGGAGAAGGCCCUCGGGUUGUAAAGCACUUUCAGUGAGGAAGAACGCCUGGUGGUUAAUACCCAUCAGGAAAGACAUCACUCACAGAAGAAGCACCGGCUAACUCCGUGCCAGCAGCCGCGGUAAUACGGAGGGUGCGAGCGUUAAUCGGAAUUACUGGGCGUAAAGCGCGCGUAGGUGGCUUGAUAAGCCGGUUGUGAAAGCCCCGGGCUCAACCUGGGAACGGCAUCCGGAACUGUCAAGCUAGAGUGCAGGAGAGGAAGGUAGAAUUCCCGGUGUAGCGGUGAAAUGCGUAGAGAUCGGGAGGAAUACCAGUGGCGAAGGCGGCCUUCUGGACUGACACUGACACUGAGGUGCGAAAGCGUGGGUAGCAAACAGGAUUAGAUACCCUAGUAGUC
Molecule: ribosomal RNA, 465 nt
Filed under: Vreelandella stevensii
Lineage: Bacteria; Pseudomonadati; Pseudomonadota; Gammaproteobacteria; Oceanospirillales; Halomonadaceae
Description: partial 16S ribosomal RNA
Rfam family: Bacterial small subunit ribosomal RNA
Source: RNAcentral